CAUGUUAAAUCAUGCACAAGCAGGUUAGACAUUCAGCUGAUGGAACAGAUAGAUGGUUUUCAUUCACAAUGGAUUUUCUUCCCUCUCACUGUUUCUCUGCUACCUCAUUAACACUUGCACAUCCAUGUAACUACACACACUAUAUCCAUGAAUCCAACACACAUAUUCACUUUAUGCACACCCCACCUGUGCUUUUUUCCUCCCUCACCAGCAGAUUUUGCCAAUGAUGUACUUCUAUUUUUGUCUCUAAAUGCUGUUCAAAAUGUUGAACAUGUAAAAAAUUAGUUGUUUGUUUUGUUUUGUGUAAUCUGUAGAGUAAAACCUGUGCAGGCCAGGUUGGAAGACAUCAUUUACAUAGUACAUUCAGAACGUUUGACUUGUGAAACCAUAAAUGCAAUUGUUGCUCAGCUCAGUUGUACUUUGGUGUGCCUCGAAACCACAGCCUUAUGUUCGGACAAUAUCAGGGCUUUUACACAAUAAUACACACUGUCUUUGUCAUGCUUAUACCUGUCUUCUUAACCACAUACUACUAGUUUGCAAAGUGAUGGUGAUAAGAUUGUGUCUUGAGGGUGUCCCUUGACCUUUCUGUGCUCUGGUCAUAUAUAUAAGUCAGCAUUAACAGGAAACAAUGGGAAUUUUCAAUGUUUUAGUUUUAUAUGAUUUUUGGUUCAGCCUUUCACUCAUGACAAAAACAAUAGCAAAUUGUGUAGUAUUUAGUUGGAAUGUUAACAACAUCACAGGCUAAGCAGCUAUACAGUGGAACAAGCGAAUACCACAGUAAACUGCAUCUUAAGGAAAUAUCAAAAAUGUCAAAUGUGUCUUUUUAAAACAACUGGUUAUACAGGCAGCAGCUAACUUUAGCUUUCUUCGGUUUGAUGGCACCGGUGUCCACGAAGUCCAUGCGAGUUGAAUGUCGAUGAGGGAAUAGUUCCUGUUGUAAACUGAAGAACGAGCCUCUCAUCAACACUUCCAUGGACUUAGACACCAGAGUUAUGAAGAGGGAAGAUGCUGUCCUGUCGUUUUUGUCAUG
Thalassophryne amazonica is the source of this 1030-nucleotide long non-coding RNA. RefSeq lists it as uncharacterized. NCBI's taxonomy places the organism in Eukaryota, Metazoa, Chordata, Actinopteri, Batrachoidiformes, Batrachoididae. The transcript has 3 exons. The record is from RefSeq and is a predicted model, not a curated record.